UACGUAGGCAGCGAGCGUUGUUCGGAGUUACUGGGCGUAAAGGGUGUGUAGGCGGUUCUUUAAGUUUGGUGUGAAAUCUCCCGGCUCAACCGGGAGGGUGCGCCGAAUACUGAGGGACUUCGAGUGCGGGAGAGGAAAGUGGAAUUCCUGGUGUAGCGGUGAAAUGCGUAGAUAUCAGGAGGAACACCGGUGGUGUAGACGGCUUUCUGGACCGUAACUGACGCUGAGGCACGAAAGCGUGGGUAGCAAACAGG
RNAcentral lists this ribosomal RNA (254 nucleotides) under uncultured bacterium. RNAcentral describes it as "partial 16S ribosomal RNA". It matches the Rfam family "Bacterial small subunit ribosomal RNA", at positions 524 to 776 of the family's 1533-position model. The record is from RNAcentral.